UACGUAGGGGGCAAGCGUUGUCCGGAUUUACUGGGCGUAAAGAGCGUGUAGGCGGCCAAACAGGUCCGUUGUGAAAACUGGAGGCUCAACCUCCAGACGUCGACGGAAACCGUGUGGCUAGAGUCCGGAAGAGGAGAGUGGAAUUUCGUGUGUAGGGGUGAAAUCCGUAGAUCUACGAAGGAACGCCAAAAGCGAAGGCAGCUCUCUGGGUCCCUACCGACGCUGGGGUGCGAAAGCAUGGGGAGCGAACAGG
This 253-nucleotide ribosomal RNA is filed under the name uncultured bacterium. RNAcentral describes it as "partial 16S ribosomal RNA". It matches the Rfam family "Bacterial small subunit ribosomal RNA", at positions 524 to 776 of the family's 1533-position model. The record is from RNAcentral.